AUAAAUAAAUGAUUAAAUUUAUGAAAUAAAUAUAUUGCGCCACAACUGUUGGUUCAACAACAUCCUAUACAAGUCUUUUAAGUUGUUUGAUUUACUAAUUUCCACUUAUUUCUAAAUCUUGAAUAGGGUUGGAGAGUUCCGUUGGGGGGUCAUAACAUAGUCAAAUUCUUUUUUAACAUCUCUAGUAUCCUCCUUUGCAACUUCAUUAUUUUCAUCUCUAGUAUCCUCAUGUACAGAUAUAGAACUCAUGGUAGUGGUGUGUAGUGGUGUUCAUCUUUUCUUUCACCCUUAAAUAUUUCCAUGGUAUUCAAUAUAAUAUGUGAGAUAUCUUUUAAUAAAAAUUCAGAAAUUUUUCUCCUCUUUAAUGAUCAAACGCCUUGCACUGUAACUAUAUGUCGCUACGUCCAGCAGUUACCUAAAAGCAAAAACAAAAACAAAAGUAGUUAACAUACAUUUCUGUUAUUCAAUUAAACAAAAAGGUAAAAUUAUACUAUGUGAUUUUUGAUCUCGAACAAGGCCUCCUUCGUCAACACCUCUGUUGUGGUUCAAGAGGAUUGACUUCCCAAAGCAUGAAUGGCAUUCACUUCUUAAUUGUUCUACAUAUUAUCAUGCAACAUGGUUUUGAACAUUGUAUCAUGCUUUUCACUUUUCUACUUACUUCAUACUCAUCAUCAAACUCAAUAAUCCACUUCUUAUAGCUAUUAAUCUCAUUUGGAGUCAUCGGAGACCGAGAAAACACUUUCUUAUUUUCACUAAACACAAAAGUCUGCAUGAUUCAUUAACCACAUGAUUUUCCGAAUAAUAAGAAGGAAAAUGUCAAACAAACAUCAACUUACCAAAAGUGGUGAAACAAAACACCAACUUUGCUUGUGGUGAAUAAAUUUAUCAAUUUCAGUUGAUUUUUCUAACUAAUCAUCAACUUUUGUUGACUUUGCCAAAUAAAACAUAUCGUAAAGUCAACUAAUAUACACAUUUCCAACAUAUUGUAGUAAAUCCGAGUUUUGGUUUACGUCUCAUACCUUUAUAGAAUUUUAUGUUGUAUUGAUGUUCUAAUUGAAGUAAUUGUAUUUCUAGAUUUAAUUGAUUUAAGAUGCAAGUAAUGGAUUAGAUAUUUUAU
This 1117-nucleotide small RNA is filed under the name Arabidopsis thaliana (thale cress). RNAcentral describes it as "ATSL222540". Lineage: Eukaryota; Viridiplantae; Streptophyta; Magnoliopsida; Brassicales; Brassicaceae. The record is from RNAcentral.